GUGAAAUUGUUGAAAGGGAAACGAUUGAAGCCAGUCGUACCUAUGGGUAAUCAGCCUUUUGGGUGUGAUUUUGUGGAGCGUGAGGAGUUAAACGCCUUCAUGCCUGCAUAUUCGUGCACUUUGGGUGUACUUGCCCGUAUGGUUGGUUAACAUCAAUUUUGGUGGUCAUAAAAUGACUGGAGGAAUGUAGCUUCGAUCUCGUAUUGAAGUGUUAUAGCCUCUGGUAGAUGCGGUGACCGAAACUGAGGAUUGCAACGAAUACCCUUUUGGGCUAUCCGUCUGGCCUCUGAAAGUUGCUUAGGUGCCGAAAGCGUGCUUACGGCUAUUUAAGUUGACGGUCAACAGGUUAGAACGUGAUUACAUUCGUUAAGGACGUUGACGUAAUGGCUUUAAACGAC
Molecule: ribosomal RNA, 398 nt
Filed under: uncultured Glomeraceae
Lineage: Eukaryota; Fungi; Glomeromycota; Glomeromycetes; Glomerales; Glomeraceae
Description: partial 28S ribosomal RNA
Source: RNAcentral